Long non-coding RNA from Salvia hispanica, 980 nucleotides. RefSeq lists it as uncharacterized. The record is from RefSeq and is a predicted model, not a curated record. NCBI's taxonomy places the organism in Eukaryota, Viridiplantae, Streptophyta, Magnoliopsida, Lamiales, Lamiaceae.
UCCUUUAUCUUAUUCUUAGUGUAGCCACUUAAUUUGGGCAGAAGCUUAUGAGAUUUAACGAAAAUUCUUGCAUUUGAUUAUUGUGGUAAAACUUGGUUUGGUUUGCUAUUACUGAGUUUGCGUGUAAGGGCAGCAGCAGGUCGUUUCUCUUAUUUCAAAACGUGGUAAAGCUCUAAACUUGUUGUCUUAAGCAUGAUGUUCGAACAAAGGCAGAGGGUGUGCUUGUGAUAUAUUGAUUGUGAUUCUUAAGUUGUGGUGCCUCUAUAUGAUGACAUGAAAAACUUGAUUGGGAGAAAGGGGGUGGAGGUGUUUACCUCUCGGUAUCACGGCUGCUUCGAGAAAAUCUGCCUUUGGUCUCGGUUUUCCCCCCUCUCAAGCUUGCUACUGCUUGUUCUUGGUUUUCACUAGAGUUUGCUGAAUUUUGCGAUGUGUAGGAGGGUGUUCAAAGGUGGUGUGGGGGGCUUUUUAUAGGCUGAAAUCUUGAGGCACUAUGGGGGAUUAAUUGGGGUUGUUACACUAUUUUGUUCCCAUCUUACAGAGAAUCCCCUUUGACUAUGAUUCUGCAGUAGGAUAUACUUGAGAGAUGGCUUUAUUUGAGUACUUAGUACAUGGAUAUUAAUUGAUACUUGUUUGUUGUGGCUGGUGAGAAACAGGUGCUGCAUUGGCGUGACAGAUUGCAGGCUGGACUGCCCUUUUUGGGUAAGUCUUUGGUCCUCCAAAGCAAAAGAAAGGUGAGAGUGAAAUCUCGGCUACUACCUGGCUGCAUCGCGAGCGGGCCUGGAUUUGAUGUCUGGGCCGACGGGCUGCCCGAAACGGGCCCUAAAUUGGGCCUGGAGAAAAGGCCCGAAAUGCACUCCACAUUUUGUAUUUUCCUUUCCUUGUUUUCUUUCUUUGAGGACUUUGAUCCAUGUAAACUAUUUUAUUAGUUGUUCAUUUUAUUAGACACGAAAAUACCAUUCGAAACACUUUAUUUUUCCGAA